RNAcentral lists this ribosomal RNA (253 nucleotides) under uncultured bacterium. Its description in RNAcentral is "partial 16S ribosomal RNA". It matches the Rfam family "Bacterial small subunit ribosomal RNA", at positions 524 to 776 of the family's 1533-position model. The record is from RNAcentral.
UACGUAGGGUGCGAGCGUUAAUCGGAAUUACUGGGCGUAAAGCGUGCGCAGGCGGUUCGCCAAGUCAGGUGUGAAAUCCCCGGGCUUAACCUGGGAAUUGCGCUUGAAACUAGCGGGCUUGAGUGUGGCAGAGGGGGGUGGAACUCCACGUGUAGCAGUGAAAUGCGUAGAGAUGUGGAGGAACACCGAUGGCGAAGGCAGCCCCCUGGGUCAACACUGACGCUCAUGCCCGAAAGCGUGGGGAGCAAACAGG